This 256-nucleotide ribosomal RNA is filed under the name uncultured bacterium. RNAcentral's name for it is "partial 16S ribosomal RNA". It matches the Rfam family "Bacterial small subunit ribosomal RNA", at positions 96 to 353 of the family's 1533-position model. The record is from RNAcentral.
UGGCGGACGGGUGAGUAGUGUCUGGGAAACUGCCUGAUGGAGGGGGAUAACUACUGGAAACGGUAGCUAAUACCGCAUAACGUCGCAAGACCAAAGAGGGGGACCUUCGGGCCUCUUGCCAUCGGAUGUGCCCAGAUGGGAUUAGCUAGUAGGUGGGGUAACGGCUCACCUAGGCGACGAUCCCUAGCUGGUCUGAGAGGAUGACCAGCCACACUGGAACUGAGACACGGUCCAGACUCCUACGGGAGGCAGCAUG